UAUUCUCAAUCCAUUCUGGGUUUCUGAAAAGAAACUUGUUUGGAAUUGGAUUUGGAGGCUUUCUGUUGGUUACACUUUGUUAAUCAACUCCUCUGAAAUGCAUUAGCAGGAAUGAAGUGCCAUCUUCAGUGUGAUAAUUAUCUGCACUGUGGAGUGAUGCUUAAAUGCUCCAGCUUCUAAUUGUCUAUUCUCUUGGACAUUUUUUAUGAC
Molecule: unclassified non-coding RNA, 210 nt
Filed under: uncultured Hypochnicium
Lineage: Eukaryota; Fungi; Basidiomycota; Agaricomycetes; Corticiales; Corticiaceae
Description: sequence contains ITS2
Source: RNAcentral